GCCUGGGUGGCUCAGUCGGUUGAGCAUCUGACUUCGGCUCAGGUCAUGAUCUCAGGGUCAUGGGUUCAAGCCCCGCAUUGGGCU
This 84-nucleotide transfer RNA is filed under the name Felis catus (domestic cat). It matches the Rfam family "tRNA". Rfam says of the family: Transfer RNA (tRNA) molecules are approximately 80 nucleotides in length. Their secondary structure includes four short double-helical elements and three loops (D, anti-codon, and T loops). The record is from Rfam by way of RNAcentral. Lineage: Eukaryota; Metazoa; Chordata; Mammalia; Carnivora; Felidae.